RNAcentral lists this ribosomal RNA (428 nucleotides) under Pseudomonadota bacterium. Its description in RNAcentral is "Proteobacteria bacterium partial 16S ribosomal RNA". It matches the Rfam family "Bacterial small subunit ribosomal RNA", at positions 355 to 776 of the family's 1533-position model. Lineage: Bacteria; Pseudomonadati; Pseudomonadota. The record is from RNAcentral.
UGGGGAAUAUUGGACAAUGGGCGAAAGCCUGAUCCAGCCAUGCCGCGUGUGUGAAGAAGGUCUUCGGAUUGUAAAGCACUUUAAGUUGGGAGGAAGGGCAGUAAGCGAAUACCUUGCUGUUUUGACGUUACCGACAGAAUAAGCACCGGCUAACUCUGUGCCAGCAGCCGCGGUAAUACAGAGGGUGCAAGCGUUAAUCGGAAUUACUGGGCGUAAAGCGCGCGUAGGUGGUUCGUUAAGUUGAAUGUGAAAGCCCCGGGCUCAACCUGGGAACUGCAUCCAAACUGGCGAGCUAGAGUAGGGCAGAGGGUGGUGGAAUUUCCUGUGUAGCGGUGAAAUGCGUAGAUAUAGGAAGGAACACCAGUGGCGAAGGCGACCACCUGGGCUCAUACUGACACUGAGGUGCGAAAGCGUGGGGAGCAAACAGG